GACGAACGCUGGCGGCGUGCUUAACACAUGCAAGUCGAACGGAAAGGCCCUGCUUUUGUGGGGUGCUCGAGUGGCGAACGGGUGAGUAACACGUGAGUAACCUGCCCUUGACUUUGGGAUAACUUCAGGAAACUGGGGCUAAUACCGGAUAGGAGCUCCUGCUGCAUGGUGGGGGUUGGAAAGUUUCGGCGGUUGGGUAUGGACUCGCGGCUUAUCAGCUUGUUGGUGGGGUAGUGGCUUACCAAGGCUUUGACGGGUAGUCGGCCUGAGAGGGUGACCGGCCACAUUGGGACUGAGAUACGGCCCAGACUCCUACGGGAGGCAGCAGUGGGGAAUAUUGCACAAUGGGCGGAAGCCUGAUGCAGCAACGCCGCGUGCGGGAUGACGGCCUUCGGGUUGUAAACCGCUUUCGCCUGUGACGAAGCGUGAGUGACGGUAAUGGGUAAAGAAGCACCGGCUAACUACGUG
Molecule: ribosomal RNA, 468 nt
Filed under: uncultured bacterium
Lineage: Bacteria
Description: partial 16S ribosomal RNA
Rfam family: Bacterial small subunit ribosomal RNA
Source: RNAcentral